AAGUAAACUGUAACUGAAAUGUAUAAAACUAAAGGUUUAUUUAGUAAGAAUAAGUAAACAGUGUGUAAAUAUGUGUUCUACAACAACAACGUAAACAAACUGAGUAAACUUUAUCUGAAUGGAUCGCAUAAGAGGAAAGUGGGCGUGUUCCAGCAUAUUGUCUACGGGUUCGCCCACACUGCCCUCACACACUUGGCACUGCCAUGCAGACAACACGUCACACGCAUUGCGCUUGACAAACGGCGACAAGUGUGCUUAAUACGGUAGAACAUGUGAAUGGGUGUGUGGGAAUGUAAGGUCUGUGGAAAAUCAGAAAAAGUAGAAUCCAUAAAGUGAAAGAUGUCAAAUCCAGUCCACCUGAGAGUCGUCCUCGGCGGAGAUGACGCUAGAAAUCUUAGCCUGAUGUCAGGGAUACCAGCAUCUGUGGAUCAACUUGUCCAUGAGAUAAAGACUGCUUUCGUGCUGUCAGUGAGAAUUCAUGCGUAUAACAAAUUUGCCACUUCAAGCCAAGUUUUUGGGAGAAGUAGACAAAUACACACCUAACUUGAUGAAGGUCUUCAGCAAUAGAGGAGGAGCUGCUGGAAAGAAGAUCAGGCUUCUCAUGGCUCCGACA
This is a long non-coding RNA of Solea solea (common sole), 613 nucleotides long. RefSeq lists it as uncharacterized. Lineage: Eukaryota; Metazoa; Chordata; Actinopteri; Pleuronectiformes; Soleidae. The record is from RefSeq and is a predicted model, not a curated record. The transcript has 4 exons.